CUCCAUACAGCCGAAAUUUUCAAAAAGCCAUGGCUAGGGUUUCAAGCUUUUUCAAAGUUCAAUUAUCAAAAAAAUCGAGAUUUGGACCAAGUACGGGGAAAUAUCAAUCAAAAUGAUCGAUUCGCGUUGAGGGUCAAGUACAUUCGUACUACAACUCGUGAUGAAUUGACGGAAAAGACCCUGGUUGGACCAUGGCAGUGAGUGUGCCAGUGUAAGACCAUGUCUGGGACAUGGCAUCGGCACGAACAGAGGAGAGUCAGUGUAAGAUCAUGUCUGGGACAUGGUGUCACGGGGCUAGACCUUUCGUCUCACAAUCUGUGCGGCCUUAGGCGAUCCGUUUGCUCCAAACUCGCCUAAGUCAGCCUUUACGCCCAAAAGUGAUGAUUCUUUAGAACUCCUCCAAGGCACCCAUUUGUAAAGAGGAAGCGAUUGUGCCAAAAGAAGAACAACAGAAAGAACGCUCGCAAAGUGUUUGAGUAAAUGCUCUCUAUUUCUCUUAUUCACAAAAAAUAAUGAAACAAUGAAUGGAGUGAGUACAACUGAGGAGGAGGCUCUCUAUUUAUAGUUGAGCUCCCCCAAAACCGACGGUCAAGAUACAUUUACAUCGACAGACGAGAUUUAACCAUAUCCCUUGAUUUUAGGGAUUUACAAGAUAAGCCUUAUCAAAUCUAAUCUAAUCUUUGCAAGAUAUGAUUCCCUCUAUCUUCUAAGAUUAGUUACCAUAUUAGCCUAAGUUGCCAUCUCUUCAUUAUCGGGCCAACUAGGCUUCAAUCUGACAGGCUUAUCCAAUAGCUCUUUGAAUCGGGCCAGUUCUCGUAGGCCAAAUGAUCCCCGUCUAAGCAAUAGACCUCCAUUGGAUGCAUUUGGUGCGAUGGUCAUGGGCUUUGAACUGCGGCCUGUGACAAUGGCAUCGACUCGAGAUGAGUCUGGGACAUGGCACCAACACCAAUAUGUGAUCCCAUGUAAGACCAUAUUUGAGAUAUGACAUUGGUGUCCUACUAGGUGUAUGAGAUAUCCCGAACAUCCCUAAUAUUACAAAUAGUUCAACGGGAAAUUCAAGAAGUAUGCUCAAGAUAAGUAAGUGUAGGAUAUGUGAGUAUUAUGACUAGGCACAUGUAUGUAUAUGAGACUCAUAAGUAAUGUGCUCAGAUUAUGAUGCAUUAUUGGUAAGGAUGCAAACAAGUAAGUUUGUAUGUGAU
Molecule: long non-coding RNA, 1199 nt
Organism: Gossypium raimondii (Peruvian cotton)
Lineage: Eukaryota; Viridiplantae; Streptophyta; Magnoliopsida; Malvales; Malvaceae
Exons: 3
Source: RefSeq, a predicted model, not a curated record